CGGCACCAUAUCGACCCUUACAGAGGCGAGAUCUCCUUCAUACAAAUGAACAUUGCGGAAUCGGUCUGCCGAACAGGGGGUCUGUAAGAAAAGGAAACGGACACAAGUUGUGUUGCCUUACAACAUUUCAGGAAGAGUGCAUACACCGAUCAACCAUCUGAAUAGGUUUGUUGGUGUAACUGACAACGAUUCCCUAGUCAAUUUUCGGAUGGACCAAAAUGCAUUCAGAAAUUUGUGCUCUAUGUUUCGUCGAAUUAGGGGUCUGUAAGAAAAGGAAACGGACACAAGUUGUGUUGCCUUACAACAUUUCAGGAAGAGUGCAUACACCGAUCAGCCAUCUGAAUAGGCUUGUUGGUAUAACUGACAACGAUUCCCUAGUCAAUUUUCGGAUGGACCAAAAUGCAUUCGGAAAUUUGUGCUCUAUGUUUCGUCGGUAUGGCAGUUUGCUCAACAAGCGGUUUUUGUAUGUAGAAGAACAAAUGGCAAUAUUUUUAGGUGUCCUCGCUUACCAUAAGAAGAAUCGGGUCAUUCACUUUGAUUAUUGGCGCUCUGGACAAAUCGUGUCUAAAUACACGUAUAAGGCUUUGUUGGCAAUACUAAAGAUGCAUACCUUAUUCAUCGUAACGCCUAAACCUAUUCAAGAUGAUUGUGUGAAUGUUGAUGGAAAAGUUUCAAGGGGUGUCUCGAUGCUUUGGAUGGAACAUUUAUCAACGUCUUUAUCCAUAAUGCGGACAAAUCUAGGUUUCGCAAUAGAAAAGGCCAAAUUACUACCAACACAUUAGCAGCGUGUGACAGACACAUGCGUUUUACAUAUGUAUUACCUGGUUGGGAGGGUUCAGUCGGGGAUGCCCGUGCCCUGCAGGAUGCUGUGAAUCGUCCUAAUGGCCUGCAUGUCCCCGUAGUUAACCAUACCUGCUAUGUUGAUGUUGUCAAGCACAUUAUGAUGUUGUCUUUCGUUCAACUAUAUAUAAAAUCAACUACAUUUUCAUUUUAA
Non-coding RNA from Salvia hispanica, 994 nucleotides. NCBI's taxonomy places the organism in Eukaryota, Viridiplantae, Streptophyta, Magnoliopsida, Lamiales, Lamiaceae. The record is from RefSeq and is a predicted model, not a curated record.